ACCGACUCCAGCUUGCAUCCCCUCUCACAGUCGCCCAUCGCGGCCUAGCCUCUCUGCUCCAAUCGGACAGGCGAUUGCAAUGGCCACUCCGUUAGGUAGUUAGGCUGCUUUUCUUCUUCUUCUUCUUCUUCUCUUCCCUUCACUCUUUCAUAAAUCAAAACGUGCCGACCCUUUUUUCAACCCUAACCGCUUUGCCGCCAUGCCGCGUCCACCAUCUGCGCAACAGUGCGUCACUCGAACCGCCGGCCAGCCACCUACUCCCAGUAAAGGAGAUGUAAAGAAUUGCUUGUCUAGCUUCUCCGACUCUCUUUAGAUUUACAUAAUCGAAAAGGAAAAAGGCAAAAAAGGUGAUGUCCAAAGUGAAAUAUGAGGCCUUACGCGAGCAAAGAUUGGAAGAGAAUAGGAAAAGACUUCUAUAGCCCUCAAAAACUCCUCUUAUCCCAAACCCGCACUGGUAUUUCUCUUUCAUGCUCUUAUUUGACUUACAAAGAAGUACUGUGGCUCUCCUUUUAGGCCUUUUUCUAACUCUGCCAGACGGUAAACUCCUUGCAAAUGGUUUUUAAAAAUUUCUAGCACAUUAAUUUAAUUUGUUAACAAUGCAAUUAUUGUGUAGAUCAUUGUUCUUUAUUGGGUUAAUGCAUUUGUAGAGCUACCAAUCGGACCCGAAACCUCUCGAAUCUGGCAUAUGCAUCAGAUGAAGAUAGAGAAUGUGCUAUAAAGAAAGCAGGGGAGCUUGAGUCAAGCAUAGAGUCUGAUUAUCCAUGUCACUGGUGGUUUUUGGCUGGUGAGCAUCAGUAGAUUACUUAACUCUAUUUUUCAUAGUGAACGUUGCUUCAAAUAUAUUCCCUUUGGAUUAGGCUGCAGACGAAG
This 870-nucleotide long non-coding RNA is filed under the name Olea europaea subsp. europaea. Lineage: Eukaryota; Viridiplantae; Streptophyta; Magnoliopsida; Lamiales; Oleaceae. The record is from RNAcentral.